UCAACCUUCAAGCCCCCGGCUUGGUGUUGGAGCCCGGCCCAGCUCACGCUGCGGCCGCUCCCAAAGACAAUGACGGCGUCCACGAGCGACCCCCGGUACACUGAGCUUUUCAUCGAGCACGUAUCGGAUUGGGCCUCGCGGGCACGGUCUGCCUCCCCUUAGGGAGAAUUUUUUACCA
Molecule: unclassified non-coding RNA, 178 nt
Filed under: uncultured Herpotrichiellaceae
Lineage: Eukaryota; Fungi; Ascomycota; Eurotiomycetes; Chaetothyriales; Herpotrichiellaceae
Description: sequence contains ITS2
Source: RNAcentral